UACGGGGGGGGCAAGCGUUGUUCGGAAUUACUGGGCGUAAAGGGCUCGUAGGCGGCCAACUAAGUCAGACGUGAAAUCCCUCGGCUUAACCGGGGAACUGCGUCUGAUACUGGAUGGCUUGAGUUUGGGAGAGGGAUGCGGAAUUCCAGGUGUAGCGGUGAAAUGCGUAGAUAUCUGGAGGAACACCGGUGGCGAAGGCGGCAUCCUGGACCAACACUGACGCUGAGGCGCGAAAGCCAGGGGAGCGAACGGG
This 253-nucleotide ribosomal RNA is filed under the name uncultured bacterium. RNAcentral's name for it is "partial 16S ribosomal RNA". It matches the Rfam family "Bacterial small subunit ribosomal RNA", at positions 524 to 776 of the family's 1533-position model. The record is from RNAcentral.